Molecule: non-coding RNA, 30 nt
Filed under: Homo sapiens (human)
Lineage: Eukaryota; Metazoa; Chordata; Mammalia; Primates; Hominidae
Source: RNAcentral
UCCCAGAAAUGGGUGACUGAUAGGUGUUUU